RNAcentral lists this ribosomal RNA (233 nucleotides) under uncultured Glomeromycotina. Its description in RNAcentral is "partial 18S ribosomal RNA". The stretch from base 45 to 233 matches the Rfam family "Eukaryotic small subunit ribosomal RNA", at positions 694 to 887 of the family's 1831-position model. Lineage: Eukaryota; Fungi; Glomeromycota. The record is from RNAcentral.
GGUGCUACCGUUGGUCGGGCAAUAGUCUGUACUGGCGUGUGGAAUUUCUACCUUCUGGGAACCAUCAUGUUAUUAAUUUAGCGUGGUGGGAAACCAGGACCUUUACCUUGAAAAAUUAGAGUGUUCAAAGCAGGCUUACGUCUGAAUACAUUAGCAUGGAAUAAUAAAAUAGGACGGUGGUCCUGUUUUGUUGGUUUCUGAAUCACCGUAAUGAUUAAUAGGGAUAGUUGGGC